AAGUCGUAACAAGGUCUCCGUUGGUGAACCAGCGGAGGGAUCAUUGCUGGAACGCGCCCCAGGCGCACCCAGAAACCCUUUGUGAACUUAUACCUUAGUGCUCGCGCGCUGUCGUCUGGCCGGCCUCACCCUCGGGUGUUGAGACGGCCCGCCGGCGGCCAACCUAACUCUUGUUUUUACACUGAAACUCUGAGAAUAAAACAUAAAUGAAUCAAAA
This 217-nucleotide unclassified non-coding RNA is filed under the name plant metagenome. Its description in RNAcentral is "partial contains small subunit ribosomal RNA and internal transcribed spacer 1". The stretch from base 1 to 46 matches the Rfam family "Eukaryotic small subunit ribosomal RNA", at positions 1786 to 1831 of the family's 1831-position model. The record is from RNAcentral.